GGCUCAAUGCCCAGUGCCUCCAUGCAGUGCUGAUCUGGAUAACAUGUGGGUGCCAUAGGGCACUGAUAAAGAGCUAUGUAGCGCUCUCUCUGAGCAUCAUCUAUAUAGGCUACGUGCAUAUCGUCGAAGUCCUGCAUCCUGUAACAGUUAGGAAAAGGAUCCGGAAAAUACAAACAUUUCAAAUAUUUAGUCUCGGUGAAAAUAUAAAAAUAAAAUUAAAU
This 221-nucleotide long non-coding RNA is filed under the name Lathyrus oleraceus (garden pea). RNAcentral describes it as "Pisum sativum (pea) long non-coding RNA (PSAT_LNC012330)". The record is from RNAcentral. Lineage: Eukaryota; Viridiplantae; Streptophyta; Magnoliopsida; Fabales; Fabaceae.